This 260-nucleotide ribosomal RNA is filed under the name uncultured archaeon. RNAcentral's name for it is "partial 16S ribosomal RNA". It matches the Rfam family "Archaeal small subunit ribosomal RNA", at positions 748 to 1009 of the family's 1478-position model. The record is from RNAcentral.
UAGCCGUAAACGAUACUCGCUAGGUGUCGGCCACGGUGCGACCGUUGUCGGUGCCGUAGGGAAGCCGUGAAGCGAGCCACCUGGGAAGUACGGCCGCAAGGCUGAAACUUAAAGGAAUUGGCGGGGAGCACCACAACGGGUGGAGCUUGCGGUUUAAUUGGAUUCAACGCCGGAAAUCUUACCGGGACCGACAGCAACAUGAAGGCCAAGCUGAAGACUUUGCCGGAUUAGCUGAGAGGUGGUGCAUGGCGUAGUCGUGU